CUCACAGGUCCGUCUGCCAGCUAGUAUAGAGUUGAACAUGAAUGCUGUACCGAAGACCGUGUACAAGUAUGCAUGACGGAGCCUCGCCCCCUCCCAUCUCCUCUAUCUCACAUGUUGACAUGCAAGGUGACAGCCCUGAGAAACUAAAGACGCUGCCUUCCUCAUGCCCACCUAAACUCUCCUCUGGUAUUGAUACUGGACUGGCUGUAUUUGGGGUGGUGCAUGUAUCGUAUCCAUGAUGACAUGGCCCACACAAACCAGCAGAUGUACUCGUGUGGUUCACUGGCCCCCAAAAUGAGGAGGGGAGGAUGUAUGGACUCACACUAUCACAAGCCAGGAGAGCCAUGGGAGAAGAGUGAAGGUGUUUACCAAGUUGCUGGGUAAGAGAGUGUUCAAGAGAUACCUCGAGCUGUUCCUGGACUCCCCAUAUUUCAUGGACUGGUGGGUUAUUAUGACUCUAGAAGCCAUUAUUUACAAUAUCAUACAAGUUUGCUCCAAAACACUUUCUGUUUGUGUACUUUGUUGCAAUUUCAACAUUGAUAAUGUACUCCAGUUAUUUAC
This is a long non-coding RNA of Halichondria panicea, 561 nucleotides long. RefSeq lists it as uncharacterized. The record is from RefSeq and is a predicted model, not a curated record. The transcript is spliced from 3 exons. NCBI's taxonomy places the organism in Eukaryota, Metazoa, Porifera, Demospongiae, Suberitida, Halichondriidae.